AUACGGAGGGUGCAAGCGUUACUCGGAAUCACCGGGCGUAAAGCGCGCGCAGGCGGCUAUUUAAGUUGGAUGUGAAAGCCUACGGCUCAACCGUAGAACUGCAUCCAAAACUAUUUAGCUAGAGUGUGGGAGAGGAAGAUGGAAUUAGUUGUGUAGGGGUAAAAUCCGUAGAGAUAACUAGGAAUACCAAAAGCGAAGGCAAUCUUCUGGAACACUACUGACGCUGAGGCGCGAAAGCGUGGCGAGCAAACAGGAUUAGAAACCCUAGUAGUCC
Molecule: ribosomal RNA, 274 nt
Filed under: uncultured bacterium
Lineage: Bacteria
Description: partial 16S ribosomal RNA
Rfam family: Bacterial small subunit ribosomal RNA
Source: RNAcentral